RNAcentral lists this ribosomal RNA (505 nucleotides) under uncultured bacterium. Its description in RNAcentral is "partial 16S ribosomal RNA". It matches the Rfam family "Bacterial small subunit ribosomal RNA", at positions 28 to 507 of the family's 1533-position model. The record is from RNAcentral.
GACGAACGCUGGCGGCGUGCCUAAUACAUGCAAGUAGAACGCACAGUUUAUACCGUAGCUUGCUACACCAUAGACUGUGAGUUGCGAACGGGCGAGUAACGCGUAGGUAACCUGCCUGGUAGCGGGGGAUAACUAUUGGAAACGAUAGCUAAUACCGCAUAAUAUUAAUUAUUGCAUGAUAAUUAAUUGAAAGGUGCAAUUGCACCACUACCAGAUGGACCUGCGUUGUAUUAGCUAGUAGGUGAGGUAACGGCUCACCUAGGCGACGAUACAUAGCCGACCUGAGAGGGUGAUCGGCCACACUGGGACUGAGACACGGCCCAGACUCCUACGGGAGGCAGCAGUAGGGAAUCUUCGGCAAGGGACGAAAGUCUGACCGAGCAACGCCGCGUGAGUGAAGAAGGUUUUCGGAUCGUAAAGCUCUGUUGUAAGAGAAGAACGGGUGUGAGAGUGGAAAGUUCACACUGUGACGGUAUCUUACCAGAAAGGGACGGCUAACUACGUG